GCCCGGGUAGCUCAGUCGGUAGAGCGCAAGGCUCUUAACCUUGUGGUCGUGGGUUCGAGCCCCACCUCGGGCG
Volvox carteri f. nagariensis is the source of this 73-nucleotide transfer RNA. It matches the Rfam family "tRNA". From Rfam's summary of the family: Transfer RNA (tRNA) molecules are approximately 80 nucleotides in length. The record is from Rfam. Lineage: Eukaryota; Viridiplantae; Chlorophyta; Chlorophyceae; Chlamydomonadales; Volvocaceae.